CUGCAGAAGAAAAGUCUGCUCGAAAAUAUAGCCAAAAGAAUCUCCUUCAAAUGUUUAGAUUGCCCCUUUUUAUUGUUGGAGCCUUAAGGAAACCUCUAUUUUCUUGUUUUCCUUUUAGUCCCUUAUUAAAAUUUCAGUUAUACCUAAAUAGUCCUUGAUUUUCUGACUCGUGCCUCAAGUUUGAGGCUAAAAUUAUGCCUAGUUCCCUCACUAGAAUGUUCUUGGGGUUGUUACAAGAUUCUUUCAGGCUCAAAUACCCUCUAUACCCAUGUUUCCUUUCCUAGUUAACUAACCUAAGGUUUUGUUUACCCUUGGUUCCAUUUGGUUUGGUCGAACCUAACCCUGGUCAAUUGUAUUCAAGUUAUGGGCCAAAAUUUGGUCUGGAUUUCAGGCUUAAUCAAAAAUUUAAGAAUUAGCCAAUACAACACAAAUUUUAAACAAGUAUCCUAAUGUGGACUUUUCAGCAACAAUUUUCUUUCAAGAGUAUAUGAAUGUUCAGUGCAUUUUUUGUCAAAACCAAUGAAUUAAAGUUACCAGAAAAAGAAACCCAUCAACUGAUGCUUAACUUAUAGAAAUAAUCUAAUUAAAACACUCAUUAAAACUUGAAAGUGAGAAAUGAAUAACAGGGAUUGAACACUCAGUAUAUACAAG
RNAcentral lists this long non-coding RNA (651 nucleotides) under Nicotiana benthamiana. Its description in RNAcentral is "long non-coding RNA (NBEN_LNC018038)". Lineage: Eukaryota; Viridiplantae; Streptophyta; Magnoliopsida; Solanales; Solanaceae. The record is from RNAcentral.